GAUGAACGCUAGCGGCAGGCUUAACACAUGCAAGUCGAGGGGUAUUGGUUUUCGGACCAAGAGACCGGCGCACGGGUGCGUAACGCGUAUGCAAUCUACCUUUUGCAGAGGGAUAGCCCCAGAGAAAUUUGGAUUAAUACCUCAUAGUAUAGUACUUUGGCAUCAAGGAACUAUUAAAGUCACAACGGCAAAGAUGAGCAUGCGUCCCAUUAGCUAGUUGGUAAGGUAACGGCUUACCAAGGCUACGAUGGGUAGGGGUUCUGAGAGGGAGAUCCCCCACACUGGUACUGAGACACGGACCAGACUCCUACGGGAGGCAGCAGUGAGGAAUAUUGGACAAUGGGCGCGAGCCUGAUCCAGCCAUGCCGCGUGCAGGAUGACGGUCCUAUGGAUUGUAAACUGCUUUUUAUACAGGAAGAAACACUCCGACGUGUCGGAGCUUGACGGUACUGUAAGAAUAAGGAUCGGCUAACUCCGUGCCAGCAGCCG
This 489-nucleotide ribosomal RNA is filed under the name uncultured bacterium. RNAcentral describes it as "bacterial SSU rRNA". It matches the Rfam family "Bacterial small subunit ribosomal RNA", at positions 28 to 517 of the family's 1533-position model. The record is from RNAcentral.